UGAGGAAUAUUGGUCAAUGGGCGCGAGCCUGAACCAGCCAAGUCGCGUGAGGGAUGACGGUCCUACGGAUUGUAAACCUCUUUAGGCGGGGAGUAAUGUGCUCUACGCGUAGAGUAGUGAGAGUACCCGCAGAAUAAGCAUCGGCUAACUCCGUGCCAGCAGCCGCGGUAAUACGGAGGAUGCGAGCGUUAUCCGGAUUUAUUGGGUUUAAAGGGUGCGCAGGCUGUGCAUCAAGUCAGCGGUAAAAUCUCGGGGCUCAACCCCGUUUAGCCGUUGAAACUGGUGUUCUGGAGUGUGCGCGAGGAAGGCGGAAUGCGCGGUGUAGCGGUGAAAUGCAUAGAUAUUGCGAAGAACUCCGAUUGCGAAGGCAGCCUUCCAGUGCAUGACUGACGCUGAGGCACGAAAGCGUGGGUAUCGAACAGG
This 423-nucleotide ribosomal RNA is filed under the name Verrucomicrobiota bacterium. RNAcentral describes it as "Verrucomicrobia bacterium partial 16S ribosomal RNA". It matches the Rfam family "Bacterial small subunit ribosomal RNA", at positions 355 to 776 of the family's 1533-position model. Lineage: Bacteria; Pseudomonadati; Verrucomicrobiota. The record is from RNAcentral.